GGAUUAGAUACCCUGGUAGUCCACGCCGUAAACGAUGGAUACUCGCUGCGAGCUAAAGAUUGUUCGUGGCUUAGGGAAACCAAUAAGUAUCCCACCUGGGGAGUACGCCGGCAACGGUGAAACUCAAAGGAAUUGACGGGGGCCCGCACAAGUGGUGGAGCAUGUGGUUUAAUUCGAUGAUACGCGAGGAACCUUACCUAGGCUAGAAUGCGCGUGACCGGCUCAGAGAUGAGCCUUUCCUUCGGGACACAAAGCAAGGUGCUGCAUGGCCGUCGUCAGCUCGUGUUG
RNAcentral lists this ribosomal RNA (288 nucleotides) under uncultured bacterium. RNAcentral's name for it is "partial 16S ribosomal RNA". It matches the Rfam family "Bacterial small subunit ribosomal RNA", at positions 775 to 1067 of the family's 1533-position model. The record is from RNAcentral.